Molecule: non-coding RNA, 48 nt
Organism: Schistosoma mansoni
Lineage: Eukaryota; Metazoa; Platyhelminthes; Trematoda; Strigeidida; Schistosomatidae
Source: Rfam
AUCCAGCUAACGAGUCCCAAAUAGGUUGAAACGAGCGUCAAACUGGAU